Molecule: transfer RNA, 75 nt
Filed under: Chloroflexota bacterium
Lineage: Bacteria; Bacillati; Chloroflexota
Description: Chloroflexi bacterium (sediment metagenome) tRNA-Trp
Rfam family: tRNA
About the family: Transfer RNA (tRNA) molecules are approximately 80 nucleotides in length. Their secondary structure includes four short double-helical elements and three loops (D, anti-codon, and T loops). Further hydrogen bonds mediate the characteristic L-shaped molecular structure. tRNAs have two regions of fundamental functional importance: the anti-codon, which is responsible for specific mRNA codon recognition, and the 3' end, to which the tRNAs corresponding amino acid is attached (by aminoacyl-tRNA synthetases). tRNAs cope with the degeneracy of the genetic code in two manners: having more than one tRNA (with a specific anti-codon) for a particular amino acid; and 'wobble' base-pairing, i.e. permitting non-standard base-pairing at the 3rd anti-codon position.
Source: RNAcentral
AGGCGGGCUGCGGGGCGAGCAGCGGUCUCCAAAACCGCCGGUCGGGGGUUCGAAUCCCUCCACUCCUGCCCGCCA